Molecule: ribosomal RNA, 446 nt
Filed under: uncultured bacterium
Lineage: Bacteria
Description: bacterial SSU rRNA
Rfam family: Bacterial small subunit ribosomal RNA
Source: RNAcentral
UCCAGACUCCUACGGGAGGCAGCAGUGGGGAAUAUUGCACAAUGAGGGGAACCCUGAUGCAGCGACGCCGUGUGGGUGAAGGAGUAUUUCGGUAUGUAAAGCCCUCUCAGCAGGGAAGAACAAUGACGGUACCUGACUAAGAAGCACCGGCUAAAUACGUGCCAGCAGCCGCGGUAAUACGUAUGGUGCAAGCGUUAUCCGGAUUUACUGGGUGUAAAGGGAGCGCAGGCGGCGCGUUAAGCCUGGUGUGAAAGCCCGCGGCCCAACCGCGGGACUGCAUUGGGAACUGGCGCGCUGGAGUGCUGGAGGGGUAGGCGGAAUUCCUAGUGUAGCGGUGAAAUGCGUAGAUAUUAGGAGGAACACCAGUGGCGAAGGCGGCUUUCUGGCUCAUAACUGACGCUGAGGCGCGAAAGCGUGGGGAGCAAACAGGAUUAGAUACCCUAGUA